Ictidomys tridecemlineatus (thirteen-lined ground squirrel) is the source of this 67-nucleotide non-coding RNA. NCBI's taxonomy places the organism in Eukaryota, Metazoa, Chordata, Mammalia, Rodentia, Sciuridae. The record is from Rfam.
GAAGUUGUGGCUCAGUGGUAGAGCACUUGCCUAAUGCGUGAGACACUGGGUUCGAUUCUCAGCAUCG